UCUAAGGGCAUUGUUUAGAGCCUGGGAUCCCCAUUACAUGAAAAAAAAAUGGAGAACUGCUUAUUUUUUUCCAGAUAAAGCAGGUACUGCGGUACUUGCCGUUCUUGCAAGACAGCUUGAUUUUUGGCAUGCUUACCAGCUGCCUUCAAACAUGCAUCUUGGGGCUCUGAACUUUAGAGGAGACUUUAAAGAGGCUCCACCUCGGAGGGAAUGCGUUCAAAGAAAUUUAAAAUUGCUAUUGCAUGUUUUAUGCUGAUUCUUUUAGUUAACACCGAGGGAAAACAAUGGCUUUAAAAACAAAGAAACAACAAACAUGCAUGUGGAGCUUCCCACAGUGCCCUUUGUGGCGGCUGGUUGCUCUGGAGUCUUCUUGAGGACAAAAGCAGUUGAGAUGUGCUUGAGAAACAAAACAACUCCUGUGGAUCUUUUUCAGAGAGAGCAUGGCCUCUUCUGGCUGGAAGGGGGGAAACACCGCGUCUGGGCAAGUGGGGUUUCUUUUUCUAAGGCAAGGAAGAAGCGUUGCUUUUUUUUUUUUUUUUUUUUUUUUUUUUUUAAGUUGUAUGGGAAGAGUGCCUGCUUGUGUGUUUGGAGCCUGUGUGAUGAGUGCCGUGGGAUGUGAUGCAAAGCACUUGUGUGUAUGUGUUGCUUUUAAUUUAAGGAGAAGCUGUUACGCUUGCAGCAGCCUGUUCCUGUCUUACCUUGUACAUGUGCCAAUGCUUCCUGCUGUGCACCUGGCUCCUGCCUGCCUCGUGCCCUCUCUCGUGCCCUGGGAUGUGCGUGCUGUUUCCUGUUCUCACUUGGGUUUUCCCGGCUGUGUAUAUAGACCUUGCCCUGUUCUCUGUAGUGUAUAGGCAGUACUUUCGUUUUCCCUGAAUCCAGACUCUAGGGGUAGCGGUAGGGGAACGCCUGCCCCUCCCCAGUGCCACCAGUACCCUUGGGGUGAGCGGAUGAGGCAGAGGGAGGCUGGUACAGCAGGGAGGUGCAGCUCUGCUCACUGCAGCCUUCACCACGUGUGCCAGUGCCCGGAUCAGGCUCACCCAUGCCUCGUGCUACCUCCACACGUCACAGGUACCCAGGGGCUCAGCGCUCCCACCGGCACCGACCCUCCAAAGCCACCAUCGCAUCC
This 1126-nucleotide long non-coding RNA is filed under the name Anas platyrhynchos platyrhynchos (common mallard). RNAcentral's name for it is "lncRNA (ENSAPLG00000027275.1)". The record is from RNAcentral. Lineage: Eukaryota; Metazoa; Chordata; Aves; Anseriformes; Anatidae.